UCAAAAACAUGGCUUAUUGAUUUUAAUUUUAAGUCUAGCCUGCCCCCUGAGGUUUUAAAUGGCCGCGGUAUUUUGACCGUGCUAAGGUAGCAUAAUCAUUAGUUUCUUAAUUAGAAGCUGGAAUGAAGGGUUGGAUGAAAAAAUUUCUGUCUCUAUUUAAAUUUAUUAUAAUUUUAUUUUUUAGUAAAAAAGCUAAAAUAAUUUUAAAAGACGAGAAGACCCUAUAGAGUUUAAUAUAUAAUUAUAUUAAUAUUUAUUGGAAUAUAAAUUUUUAAUUUAAUAAUAUAUUUAAUUGGGGUGAUUGAAAAAUUAAUGAAACUUUUUUUAUUUUUUACAUUGAUUUAUGAAUUGUUGAUCCAUAUUUUAUGAUUAUAAGAUUUAAUUACCUUAGGGAUAACAGCGUAAUGUUUUCAGAGAGUUCUUAUCGAAGAAAAAGAUUGCGACCUCGAUGUUGGAUUAAAAUGAAUUAUUGGUGUAGAAGCUAAUAUUAUUAGGUCUGUUCGACCUUUAAAAUUUUACAUGAUCUGA
Molecule: ribosomal RNA, 528 nt
Filed under: Bruchidius varius
Lineage: Eukaryota; Metazoa; Arthropoda; Insecta; Coleoptera; Chrysomelidae
Description: partial 16S ribosomal RNA
Rfam family: Bacterial large subunit ribosomal RNA (bases 393-528)
Source: RNAcentral